Glycine soja is the source of this 2110-nucleotide RNA transcript. It is a transcript of the gene named thiol-disulfide oxidoreductase LTO1-like, with no coding region annotated. The record is from RefSeq and is a predicted model, not a curated record. The transcript is spliced from 5 exons. NCBI's taxonomy places the organism in Eukaryota, Viridiplantae, Streptophyta, Magnoliopsida, Fabales, Fabaceae.
UUAAACGAGGUCAAUAAUUCUCAUCAAGACCGACGAACCGGGCCAAUCAAGUGAUCCAGAUCCACACCGUUGACAAUUUUGCUUUGACUCUUUUGUGAUUUGUGAAGGAAGGAGAAGGAGCGAAGGGGAUGGUGAGCGAAGUAGCCAGAGACGGUUAAAGCUUUCUCAAUGGCAACUACCUUCUUCACCCUCGCCUCGCUGUCACUACCGUCGUCUUCUCGUGUUUCCAUUGGCGGCGCUCCGAUUCGCGACCACCGUUCUCCGAACCAAAUCAGGUUGUUGCCACCUCUCAAAUGCUCCUCUUCGGAGCCGGAAACUGCCAUGCAUGCUCCCUCCGACCGAACUCACAAGUUGAUCUCCGGUGUCGCCGGCAUGGAUUCCUCGAAACCUUGUACCUCACUUACCUUAAGCUCACCGGCGCAGACGCCUUUUGCCCCGUCGGCGGCGGCUCCUGCUCCAAAAUACUCGACAGUGAUUACGCCGUCGUUUUCGGUAUUCCUCUUGCCUUGUUUGGGAUGGCUGCGUAUGGUUUAGUUGCUGCACUUGGUGUUCAAUUGGCUUCGAAGAAUUUGCGUUUUGGGAUUGAGAAAUCAACUGCUCAAGUAGUGUUGCUUGGAGCCACAACCUCCAUGGCUGCUGCUAGUGCGUAUUUUUUGUACAUUCUAACCACCAGAUUCUCUGACUCGUCUUGCUCCUACUGUUUAAUUUCGGCUUUCUUGUCCUUCACCUUGUUCUAUGUUACAGUCAAGGAUAUUGGAUUGCAAGAGGUGUCUAAACAACUGGGUAUGCAACUGCUUGUUGCUAGCUUAGUGAUUCUCUCGCUGAACACAUCCUACAGCAAUUCUAAAUCUGCCUCCUCAAGCCUGGCUGAAAAUGAUCUUCCAUACUUUGCAACUGAGAUUACAACUCCGUUAAGCCCUUUUGCACUAUCUCUAGCAUGGCAUUUGCACUCCAUAGGAGCUAAAAUGUAUGGUGCUUUCUGGUGUUUGCACUGUCAGGAACAAAAAGAGAAGGUAGUGCUCUAGAAACUCCAACCAGAAGCUUGGGUUUGUCACUUUGUCUUCAAGAUUAAAAAACUGAGGAGCAAGAAAUCAAUUGUGGAGAUGAAGUUCAAUGGGAAAGCCAAGGGCCAGUGGAAUAGAGGGCAAAAGCUGAUGAUGAAUGGGAGCAAGAAAACGUAACACGAGAUGAAGAAUUAGAGAGAAGAAAACUGGUGGCUCAAGGGCAAAAGACGAAUAGAGGAAAGCAACAAAAACUUGGAGAAACCCACAAAAGCAACGAGAAGACAGAAGCAAAAAUGAAGUACUUGAGAUUAAGAAUUACAGUGGAAGAGAUGACAUAGAUACGGGCUGUUGCAAAUAGGAGGUGAAAAUUGAGGGAAACUCUAUGUUCGACCUUAGGGGAGAACCAAGCACUGAACUGAUGGCAACAAUGGAGGUUUCAGGUUUGGGUAGUGCCUUCAACCCACCACAGAAGGUCGCAACCAUGUGUGGUAGUUCAGUUUGCAACAGAGCCAUGGGUUCUUUUCAGUGUAACUACACAGGCUCUGAUGCUCUGUUUCAUAGCAAAAAGUUCCAUAGAAAACAGAGCACUAAAGGAGCAUUGGGGCAUUCUCAUGUUUGUCUUUGGCCUGAUAGGAUUGGAAACUGCUCUUGGAUUGCUGAGUGGAAUUGGCUUAGUCAUCGUGCUUCAAUUAAGUAAAUAGCUUGUAACUUUUGAAAUGAAGUUAAUUCCUGGCCUUUAGCACCUGCAAUGGGCAAAUACUAAAUAAAACAAAAAUCAUCAUGGUCUCUGUUAUGCAUUUCUCUACCUUGAAAAGUUGAAACUGUUGUCAACUCAGUGGGAACUGGAGAGUGAAUGACUUGUGUAAGAUCUGAUUAGGUUUUAGGAUCAAACUUAGUAACGUAACUUUCAAUCAAGAACUCCCUAUCAUAUGACUACUCGGGAAGAUCUUCACCCAGGUUUCAGGAGUAGUUGUCAAUGGAUUCAUAAAUAUCAUGGUUUAUUUCUUCAUGAAAACUUUCCCUAUUCUUUCUAGUGUCAUUAGAUUCCUCUGCUUUGGAUCCUAAAAACUAAUAUUUAUUCAUUGAGUUGAUAGUUUUUUUAUUUA